GGGCCCAUAGCUCAGUUGGUAGAGCAACUGACUUUUAAUCAGUGGGUCGCAGGUUCGAAUCCUGCUGGGCUCA
Molecule: transfer RNA, 73 nt
Filed under: Paracoccus aminovorans
Lineage: Bacteria; Pseudomonadati; Pseudomonadota; Alphaproteobacteria; Rhodobacterales; Paracoccaceae
Rfam family: tRNA
About the family: Transfer RNA (tRNA) molecules are approximately 80 nucleotides in length. Their secondary structure includes four short double-helical elements and three loops (D, anti-codon, and T loops).
Source: Rfam by way of RNAcentral